CCCUGGCUGGUUAAGUGGUUAGAGCAUCGGCCCUCAGACCGAGGGGUCCCAGGUUCAAUUCCUGGUCAGGGG
Non-coding RNA from Myotis lucifugus (little brown bat), 72 nucleotides. The record is from Rfam. NCBI's taxonomy places the organism in Eukaryota, Metazoa, Chordata, Mammalia, Chiroptera, Vespertilionidae.